Long non-coding RNA from Arabidopsis thaliana (thale cress), 350 nucleotides. RefSeq annotates it as other RNA. The transcript has a single exon. NCBI's taxonomy places the organism in Eukaryota, Viridiplantae, Streptophyta, Magnoliopsida, Brassicales, Brassicaceae. The record is from RefSeq.
AUCCACUACGGUCAAGUACACCGUAUCUUUUUUGUUAUAGGCCCACAAACAUGUUCUAGGCCCACAUGUUAUAGGCCCGUUCCCAAACACCGAUCACUCUUCAAUUUAACUUUUUGCUCACAAUCUUCAGGCUCAAUCAUAUGACAUGACAGAUCUCAUUGUAAAUGCAAUCGCAAAGGGUUAUCAUUAUCAACUAGUACUAUAAAGAUAGCUGUUACUUCCCGCCAACGCAACUGGGACAGUUAAAACCGUUGAGGGUAACAAAAGACAAAACUCACGACUCCGUUUUUGAGUUUCCUGAAGAUGGAAGUUACGAAUAUGUUCUUGUGGGCCUCUUCAAAGAAACGAUA